UUGCGGGAAUUAUGGCGACCUUCUCUCUCUCGAUAAAACUAAUUUUAUAUUUGAAAAAUAUAACUAUGAGUAUCAAUACGAUUUUUUUUCUACGGCAUCAAGCUGAAAUCUCAUUUACACGAUCACAAUCCAUGUUAGAUGAAAUUAGAUACUAUGCGAUUUAUUGAGCACCUAUUUUGUUGAUCGCGAAAGCGCUAUAUUAAUAUAUAAUUUACAUC
Non-coding RNA from Cinara cedri, 218 nucleotides. The record is from the annotation of a GenBank genome assembly. Lineage: Eukaryota; Metazoa; Arthropoda; Insecta; Hemiptera; Aphididae.